CUCUUUCCCUUUCUCUUACAGACAUGUGAAAAAUAGCCUAAUAAGGAUCUUCGUGGUAAAAUCAGAUGGAAAACGGGGAGGCAGAGUCGCGUCUCCAGCAGCUCAUUCGACGCGGCGGCUCCUCCGAGUUGUACAAUAAUCAUCAGUGCUGGCCCGGUGCCGCUGGAUUAUUUUGUAUAUUCAUGAAGGCCCUCAUCAGCCGUCAGGAGACUGUGCAGUAAUCCUUGGAUGAAAUAAGGCCAAUCAGAGCGAUAAUGAGGAAGAGACACAUCCGAGCAGGUCAUGGGCUGCUUCCACCGACAGAUGUCCUGAUGUGAAGGAGAGUACCACUGAAGAAAAUGCCUGAACUGCUAUUAUCUGCAUCCUUCAAGCGCUUGUGAGACAGGAUUACGACGUGCCGUUAACAUUAGCCUCAGCACAGUGUCUGGAUGAUCAGCCAUGCCUCUUGUAAAUGUCCCACAUAAACCCUGCAGGCCAUGGGCGGUCACCAUGUGAGAGACAGCAUGGCUCCAUCAGUUGGUUACUGCGGGAUUUCUGCAAAGUAUGGUUCAGAGGAUGUCAGGUCUGUUAGGACCCCUGGGCUGGGAGGGGAAAGGUAGAGGAGGGGUCAGUGACCAGCACAGGACAGAAAAGCAUCUUAAGCAAAUAUUGGAUUGUGAGCAUCGAAGAGAAACAACUCAAGAGGGCCUUCCAGCUGGCUCUAGCUGGCACCCGUUCAAUUCUUCCGGCCAUGAUGUGCCCACAAGAACGCCCCAGGAGAGAUGCUUCUGUAAGGGAGCAGCCACCAGCCACCUAAAUGAGGUCAACGGAAAGAAUGGAAAUAGUUGGAGCCUGGGGAUGACAUCAAACACUGGGUGGGUGAGGGGGAGAAAGGAGGUAUGUGGAGAGAGAGGCAGCCCAAGGGAGGCAGAGACAUGGAUGGGAGGAGUGACAGAAGGGCAGGACUUCAGGCUCUGCACCUCUUUCCGGGUGUUGUUGCCAGCCCUACUCCAACCCUGAGCCAUAAUCAACUUCCUUAAUGAAAUACGUAAUUAACAUAUUAUAAUUGUAGUAAAGAUGAUUUUGACAGAAA
RNAcentral lists this long non-coding RNA (1072 nucleotides) under Mus musculus (house mouse). RNAcentral describes it as "predicted gene, 31621". Lineage: Eukaryota; Metazoa; Chordata; Mammalia; Rodentia; Muridae. The record is from RNAcentral.